This 245-nucleotide ribosomal RNA is filed under the name uncultured bacterium. RNAcentral's name for it is "partial 16S ribosomal RNA". It matches the Rfam family "Bacterial small subunit ribosomal RNA", at positions 1260 to 1500 of the family's 1533-position model. The record is from RNAcentral.
AAGGCAAGCGGAUCUCUUAAAGCUGUUCUCAGUUCGGACUGCAGUCUGCAACUCGACUGCACGAAGCUGGAAUCGCUAGUAAUCGCGGAUCAGCACGCCGCGGUGAAUACGUUCCCGGGCCUUGUACACACCGCCCGUCACACCAUGGAAGUCUGCAAUGCCCGAAGCCGGUGGCCUAACCACUUAUGUAGAAGGAGCCGUCUAAGGCAGGGCAGAUGACUGGGGUGAAGUCGUAACAAGGUACC